RNAcentral lists this ribosomal RNA (497 nucleotides) under uncultured bacterium. Its description in RNAcentral is "partial 16S ribosomal RNA". It matches the Rfam family "Bacterial small subunit ribosomal RNA", at positions 28 to 507 of the family's 1533-position model. The record is from RNAcentral.
GAUGAACGCUGGCGGCGUGCCUAAUACAUGCAAGUCGAGCGAACAGAUGAGGAGCUUGCUCCUCUGACGUUAGCGGCGGACGGGUGAGUAACACGUGGAUAACCUACCUAUAAGACUGGGAUCACUUCGGGAAACCGGCGCUAAUACCGGAUAAUAUCUUGAACCGCAUGGUUCAAUAGUGAAAUACGGCUUUUCUGUCACUUCUAGAUGGAUCCCGGCCGUAUUAGGUAGUUGUUAAGGUAACGGCCUACCAAGGCGACGAUGCGUAGCCGACGUGAGAGGGGGGUCGGCGACCUUGGAACUGGGACACGGUCAAGAGUCCUGCGGGAGGGAGCAGUCGGGAAUGGUCCGCAGUGGGCGAAAGCCUGACGGAGCAACGCCGAGUGAGUGAUGAAGGCGUUCGGAUCGUAAAACCCUGUUAUUAGGGAAGAACAAAUGUGUAAGUAAACAUGCACGGAUUGACGGUACCUAAUCAGAAAGCAACGGCUAACUACGUG